GGCCUUGUGGUCUAGGGGUAUGAUUUUCGCUUAGGGUGCGAAAGGUCCCGCGUUCGAAUCGCGGCAAGGCCC
Non-coding RNA from Vitrella brassicaformis, 72 nucleotides. The record is from the annotation of a GenBank genome assembly. Lineage: Eukaryota; Vitrellaceae.